This 835-nucleotide ribosomal RNA is filed under the name Dissoconium sp. KY4 19.1B2. Its description in RNAcentral is "eukaryotic LSU rRNA". It matches the Rfam family "Eukaryotic large subunit ribosomal RNA", at positions 41 to 912 of the family's 3401-position model. The record is from RNAcentral. Lineage: Eukaryota; Fungi; Ascomycota; Dothideomycetes; Mycosphaerellales; Dissoconiaceae.
UAUCAAUAAGCGGAGGAAAAGAAACCAACAGGGAUUGCCCUAGUAACGGCGAGUGAAGCGGCAACAGCUCAAAUUUGAAAUCUGGCGCAAGCCCGAGUUGUAAUUUGUAGAGGAUGCUUCUGGGUAGCGGCCGGUCUAAGUUCCUUGGAACAGGACGUCACAGAGGGUGAGAAUCCCGUAUGUGAUCGGCGCGCGCCCUCUACGUAGCUCCUUCGACGAGUCGAGUUGUUUGGGAAUGCAGCUCUAAAUGGGAGGUAAAUUUCUUCUAAAGCUAAAUACUGGCCAGAGACCGAUAGCGCACAAGUAGAGUGAUCGAAAGAUGAAAAGCACUUUGGAAAGAGAGUUAAAAAGCACGUGAAAUUGUUGAAAGGGAAGCGCUUACAACCAGACUUGCGGGUGGUGUUCCGCCGGGCUUCUGCCCGGUCUACUCGCCGCUCGCAGGCCAUCAUCGUCUGGGGCCGCCGGAGAAACCGUCAGGAAUGUGGCUCCCUCGGGAGUGUUAUAGCCUGUCGACAUGCGGCGCGCCCCGGGCGAGGUCCGCGCACUGCAAGGAUGAUGGCGUAAUGGUUGUCAGCGGCCCGUCUUGAAACACGGACCAAGGAGUCUAACAUCUAUGCGAGUGUUCGGGUGUCAAACCCCUACGCGUAAUGAAAGUGAACGGAGGUGGGAGCUUCGGCGCACCAUCGACCGAUCCUGAUGUCCUCGGAUGGAUUUGAGUAAGAGCAUAGCUGUUGGGACCCGAAAGAUGGUGAACUAUGCCUGAAUAGGGUGAAGCCAGAGGAAACUCUGGUGGAGGCUCGCAGCGGUUCUGACGUGCAAAUCGAUCGUCAAAUUU